This 208-nucleotide unclassified non-coding RNA is filed under the name Hevea brasiliensis (rubber tree). The record is from RNAcentral. Lineage: Eukaryota; Viridiplantae; Streptophyta; Magnoliopsida; Malpighiales; Euphorbiaceae.
GAUGGAAUCUUAGAGCAAGGUUUUGUUCACUUAUUUCAGCUUGUGACCUUUUCCGUAGUAAUGUUGAAACCUUAUGCAUGCAUAAAGGCGAAUCUAUUAUUAUAAAAGAGGAUCAAUUCACCCCUCUUUUUUCUUAUAUUUUGGUUGUAAUCUGGAUUAGAUAUUUACAUAUUGGUUGGAUCUGGAUCAGAUUCACCUAGACCUUAGC